RNAcentral lists this ribosomal RNA (244 nucleotides) under uncultured bacterium. RNAcentral's name for it is "partial 16S ribosomal RNA". It matches the Rfam family "Bacterial small subunit ribosomal RNA", at positions 15 to 248 of the family's 1533-position model. The record is from RNAcentral.
GAUCCUGGCUCCGGAUGAACGCUAGCUACAGGCUUAACACAUGCAAGUCGAGGGGCAGCAUGUAUCUGGCUUGCCAGAUACGAUGGCGACCGGCGCACGGGUGAGUAACGCGUAUCCGACCUGCCGCACACUCCGGGAUAGCCUUGCGAAAGCAAGUUUAAUACCGGAUGCCGUAAGGACGCCGCAUGGUGUUUUUACGAAAGGGGUUUACCGGUGUGCGAUGGGGAUGCGUCCCAUUAGCUUG